Molecule: long non-coding RNA, 234 nt
Filed under: Brassica napus (rape)
Lineage: Eukaryota; Viridiplantae; Streptophyta; Magnoliopsida; Brassicales; Brassicaceae
Description: long non-coding RNA (BNAP_LNC024931)
Source: RNAcentral
CGCCGUCGGGACCUUGGUCAUCAGGCUCAGAAUCACUCCUUGUUUCUCCGCCCAAAGCAGGACUAGGAUGCACAAACCUCAGCGCCUUUCGAACUCUCUUCGGUGUAAAGGAACUCAAGAAAAAGGACCGUUCCUCAGCAGAUCCGUCACCGCAAUAAUGUCCUCAGGAAACGGAGCAAGAGGAUUGAUGAAGGAACGAUCGCUCGGCAACCUCCGGAACAAUGGGAUACAACU